RNAcentral lists this ribosomal RNA (253 nucleotides) under uncultured bacterium. RNAcentral describes it as "partial 16S ribosomal RNA". It matches the Rfam family "Bacterial small subunit ribosomal RNA", at positions 524 to 776 of the family's 1533-position model. The record is from RNAcentral.
UACGUAGGGGGCAAGCGUUGUCCGGAUUUAUUGGGCGUAAAGAGCGUGUAGGCGGUUUGGUAGGUCCGCUGUGAAAACUCGAGGCUCAACCUCGAGACGCCGGUGGAAACCAUCAGACUAGAGUCCGGAAGAGGAGAGUGGAAUUCCUGGUGUAGCGGUGGAAUGCGCAGAUAUCAGGAGGAACACCGGUGGCGAAGGCGGGUCUCUGGGCAGUAACUGACGCUGAGGAGCGAAAGCGUGGGGAGCGAACAGG